CGCACGGGUGAGUAACGCGUAUGCAACCUGCCUCUAACAGGGAGAUAGCCCAGAGAAAUUUGGAUUAAUAUCCCAUAAUAUCAAGAAUUCGCAUGUUUUCUUGAUUAAAGCUCCGGCGGUUAGAGAUGGGCAUGCGUGCCAUUAGCUUGUUGGUAAGGUAACGGCUUACCAAGGCUACGAUGGCUAGGGGGUCUUAAAGGAUGGUCCCCCACGCUGGUACUGAGACACGGACCAG
Molecule: ribosomal RNA, 235 nt
Filed under: uncultured bacterium
Lineage: Bacteria
Description: partial 16S ribosomal RNA
Rfam family: Bacterial small subunit ribosomal RNA
Source: RNAcentral